UACGUAGGGGGCAAGCGUUAUCCGGAUUUACUGGGUGUAAAGGGAGCGUAGACGGUUAUGCAAGUCUGAAGUGAAAGCCCAAGGCUCAACCAUGGGACUGCUUUGGAAACUGUAAAACUGGAGUGCAGGAGAGGUAAGCGGAAUUCCUAGUGUAGCGGUGAAAUACGUAGAUAUUAGGAGGAACACCAGUGGCGAAGGCGGCUUACUGGACUGUAACUGACGUUGAGGCUCGAAAGCGUGGGGAGCAAACAGG
This 253-nucleotide ribosomal RNA is filed under the name uncultured bacterium. RNAcentral describes it as "partial 16S ribosomal RNA". It matches the Rfam family "Bacterial small subunit ribosomal RNA", at positions 524 to 776 of the family's 1533-position model. The record is from RNAcentral.